Molecule: ribosomal RNA, 442 nt
Filed under: uncultured bacterium
Lineage: Bacteria
Description: partial 16S ribosomal RNA
Rfam family: Bacterial small subunit ribosomal RNA
Source: RNAcentral
CCUACGGGUGGCAGCAGUGGGGAAUAUUGCACAAUGGGCGAAAGCCUGAUGCAGCAACGCCGCGUGAAGGAAGAAGGGUUUCGGCUCGUAAACUUCUAUCAACAGGGACGAAAGAAAUGACGGUACCUGAAUAAGAAGCCCCGGCUAACUACGGACCAGCCGCCGCGGUAAGACGGAGGGGGCAAUCGUUCGCCGGAUGUGUUGGGUUAAAAGGGUGCGUAGGCGGAAGGCCAAGUCAGCGGUAAAAUCGCGGGGCUCAACCUCGCUCCGCCGUUGAAACUGGCGUUCUUGAGUGGGCGAGAAGUAUGCGGAAUGCGUGGUGUAGCGGUGAAAUGCAUAGAUAUCACGCAGAACUCCGAUUGCGAAGGCAGCAUACCGGCGCCCAACUGACGCUGAAGCACGAAAGCGUGGGUAUCGAACAGGAUUAGAUACCCGUGUAGUC